AUGGCUCAGGAUGAACGCUAGCGGCAGGCUUAACACAUGCAAGUCGAGGGGCAGCGCGGUUGUAGCAAUACUUCUGGCGGCGACCGGCGAAAGGGUGCGUAACGCGUGAGCGACAUGCCCGUCACCGGGGUAUAACCGAUGGAAACGUCGACUAAUCCCCCAUAACAUCAGAGGAGGCAUCUCCUUUGGUUGAAAUUCACGGAGGUGACGGAUUGGCUCGCGUCUGAUUAGCUAGUCGGCGGGGUAACGGCCCACCGAGGCUACGAUCAGUAGGGGUUCUGAGAGGAAGGUCCCCCACAAUGGAACUGAGACACGGUCCAUACUCCUACGGGAGGCAGCAGUGAGGAAUAUUGGUCAAUGGGCGGAAGCCUGAACCAGCCAUGCCGCGUGCAGGACGACGGCCCUAUUGGGGUUGUAAACUGCUUUUGCUGCGGAGCAAUAAGGGCCUCGUGCAGGUCCGAUGAGAGUACGCAGCGAAUAAGCAUCGGCUAACUCCGUGCCAGCCGCAGC
This 510-nucleotide ribosomal RNA is filed under the name uncultured bacterium. RNAcentral's name for it is "bacterial SSU rRNA". It matches the Rfam family "Bacterial small subunit ribosomal RNA", at positions 19 to 518 of the family's 1533-position model. The record is from RNAcentral.